GCCAGGUGUGGUGGCAUGCACCUGUAGUCCCAGCUACUUGGGAGGCUGAGGCAGGAGAAUCGCUUGAACCCAGGAGGCGGAGGGUGCAGUGAGCCAAGACUGCGCCACUGCACUCCAGCCUGGGUGACAGAGUGAGACUCUGUCUCAA
This 148-nucleotide non-coding RNA is filed under the name Nomascus leucogenys (northern white-cheeked gibbon). Lineage: Eukaryota; Metazoa; Chordata; Mammalia; Primates; Hylobatidae. The record is from Rfam by way of RNAcentral.